Molecule: ribosomal RNA, 253 nt
Filed under: uncultured bacterium
Lineage: Bacteria
Description: partial 16S ribosomal RNA
Rfam family: Bacterial small subunit ribosomal RNA
Source: RNAcentral
UACAGAGGUCUCAAGCGUUGUUCGGAUUCAUUGGGCGUAAAGGGUGCGUAGGCGGUUUUGUAAGUCUUAUGUGAAAUCUAUGGGCUCAACUCAUAGACUGCAUGAGAAACUGCAGGGCUUGAGUAUGGGAGAGGUGAGUGGAAUUCCUGGUGUAGCGGUGAAAUGCGUAGAUAUCAGGAGGAACACCUGUGGCGAAAGCGGCUCACUGGACCAUAACUGACGCUGAUGCACGAAAGCUAGGGGAGCAAACAGG